UACAGAGGGUGCGAGCGUUAAUCGGAAUUACUGGGCGUAAAGCGUGCGUAGACGGUCAAGUAAGUCGGGUGUGAAAGCCCCGGGCUCAACCUGGGAAUUGCAUUCGAGACUGCGUGGCUAGGGUGCGGAAGAGGGAAGCGGAAUUUCCGGUGUAGCGGUGAAAUGCGUAGAUAUCGGAAGGAACACCAGUGGCGAAAGCGGCCUCCUGGUCCAGCACCGACGUUCAGGCACGAAAGCGUGGGGAGCAAACAGG
This 253-nucleotide ribosomal RNA is filed under the name uncultured bacterium. RNAcentral describes it as "partial 16S ribosomal RNA". It matches the Rfam family "Bacterial small subunit ribosomal RNA", at positions 524 to 776 of the family's 1533-position model. The record is from RNAcentral.